GUGUGUAGUAGCCCAUAUCACCCUCCAUCCUCCGUUGCACAUCUCAAAAUAUGAGAUAUAUUUUUUCUGAAUUUUUUGGGAUAGAGAAAAAAUUGGCAAAAGAAGGAUGUCUUGCAUGCAUGUGCAGAUGCGUCGCAUCUGUCCGUGUUUUGAAGAGUCCUCCUAAUCAAAUACUUUCAAAUUGGAAUAAUUUUUUAUGAUAAUGUUCACAUUUGAUAAGCU
RNAcentral lists this long non-coding RNA (222 nucleotides) under Elaeis guineensis (African oil palm). Its description in RNAcentral is "long non-coding RNA (EGUI_LNC008433)". The record is from RNAcentral. Lineage: Eukaryota; Viridiplantae; Streptophyta; Magnoliopsida; Arecales; Arecaceae.